Triticum dicoccoides is the source of this 2172-nucleotide RNA transcript. RefSeq lists it as uncharacterized. The record is from RefSeq and is a predicted model, not a curated record. The transcript has 5 exons. Lineage: Eukaryota; Viridiplantae; Streptophyta; Magnoliopsida; Poales; Poaceae.
CUCCUCCCUCGCUCCCGGUGCCCCCCUGCUUCCACGCGCCACCGCCGGCCCCCUGCUUCCACGCGCCACCGCCGGCCCCCUGCUUCCACGCGCUGCCGCCGACCCCGCUGCUUCUAGCCGCCACUGUUGGGAGCCACCAUAGCGCCACCAAUCGCCACAACCAGCCGUCCCUACCUCUGCCUUGGCGACCUACCCCCACCCCCGCAACGGGCCGUCGCUUCGUGUCGCCGCAUCCGGUGGCCACAACGCGCCGUCCAACUCGUCAGUCCAACUGCUUGCUCCACGGUCGGUCGCUCAAGUAGCUGCGUGCAGGCAAACAUCUCCACGGGCGACAAGUCCUUCUUUCACAACUUGUUGCUGCUGCUGCACCUUCUCCUUCGACUAGGCUAAGUAAAUUGUUCAGUGUGGAGGCGCAAAUUGCUUCGCGACUGAGGAAGGCGCACCCCGGUGCUUGCCAUGGCUCCAACCCUGCCCCGACUGCUUCUCCCUGCGCGGUCGGGAACUAGCCCCCGUGCACUGCUUCAGCAUUGUCCCCGUCCAGGCCUAGGUCGAGUGCGGAGUGCUGCUCCAGUUCAUACUUCGGCGCUGCGGCAUGUGGUAGGGAUACAGAAGGAACACCUCGGCUUUGGUGGGCAAGCACACCACGAGGUAAUGGAAAGCUCCAAUGCACACCUACAAUGUAUUUUGUGCUGAACGUGUUGUUCUAAUCUGCUGUCAUCGCAAGCUGCUAUGAUGUGUUGUCACCAUUUAUAAUCUGUUAAUGACUGGUAUGUUCUUGUUAGUUCAUGUGUGUCCUUGUUGUUAGGUCGUGUUCAUCUUUUAUAAUCAGUUCGUGUACAUGUGUGUUCUUUUCAGUGCAUUAUACUUGGUUCCGUUCAAUUUCUAAUUCUAGUUCAGUCUAAUUUCUAAAUUUAGCUCAGUCCAAAACUUAUUCUAGAUUCAUUUCAGGUCAAUUCUUACUUUAGUCUAUAUAUCUUGUGCGUCCAUACAAUCUGUAUCAAGUUUUGCUUGUGUCAUACAUCAUUUUUAAAAUAGAAAACAUUUGCUAUUGCUAGAUAACAAAAAAAGAGUAUUGUUUACUUAUUAUUUCUUCUUCAGUCAGUUCAAUUACUUGAUGUACCUAUGUUGUCCAAUCUCUACUUUCAAUGUCCCUGCAACCGCGUACAAGCAGUUCCCUACCACCAGCCCUGUCCGUUCAAUGUCGCCGCCAUGGACGCGUCCCGCUCACAGGCCAUGGCUUAUGCUUUAGCGGCAAAAAAGUGGAGCCUGCUGGAGGAGUCGCGGGGUCGAGGACCUCCAGCUCAACAGUCCAACUGCUUCCUCUAUGGCCGGUCGCUCAAGGAGCUGAGUGCAAGCCGCUCCUUGCUGCAAGCUGCUGCUGCACCUAGGACUGCCCGGCACAGCCGCAUCCUUUUCUGCUGCUGCUGAUGCAUGCCCACUACUAUGCAGCUACCAAUUGCUGCUAUUGUUACCUCUGUUUUCUAUCUGAAUUUCUGUUCGAGUGCGGUGACGAGUGAAGGUACAGAGGUACUGAAUAUUGAUUCGAGCAUAACCCUUACUCACACCUUUAAUGUUGCUAGUGGUGGUGUUUAUGUUGUUACUUCGAUCGAGAAGGAAGUAGGAAUGAGAAGGAGAAGGAGCACACCAGCAACCUUGACGUGGAGGAGAACGAGGAGGCCAAGCGUGCCGCCCAAGGUGCCCCUCAACGAACAGCUCGAGCUCGACAAAGGAUGUCCACAAGGAAUGAUCUUCCAUGACGACCAACUUGUGUGAAUUCCUCCACUAAACUACAGUUCGGUUGUGCGUCUACUACUCAAAACUCCACAAUAGUUCAACGAAAAAUGUCUACAUCAGUUUCAACUAAAAAAGACCAUAAGUUCAGAGGAAGAACAAGAUCACAGGCGCGUUUUGGUCCACGCAGGCCACCAGAGGAAUAAAAAAUGUUUCUUCAUUCAGUUCAGGUUGCUCUAGGAUUUGUCCAUGUUCUGGAGGGAAGUAAUUAACUUGUGGUUUGCAGUGGGACCUACUGUAUAACAAAUAUGUGUUGAACAUUGUUGAUUGGAGGGAUGUGUACUGAUGUACCUUUCCUGCUGGAUCCUUCUUUUAUAGAAUAAAUAUUUGCUGUUUUUACAGGAAUAAUUAUUUGGUAUAUGUGAUGUGAUCUGCAAACUA